Molecule: long non-coding RNA, 206 nt
Organism: Pygocentrus nattereri (red-bellied piranha)
Lineage: Eukaryota; Metazoa; Chordata; Actinopteri; Characiformes; Serrasalmidae
Exons: 3
Source: RefSeq, a predicted model, not a curated record
CCUGCAGCCGCGCGCGCCCGCUGAACUGAAGCGCGCGCGUGUGUGAGGAUGGAUGUCAACACGAAGCAGAAGGAGUUGAAAAUGCCAGCUGGUCUUUACGAUGGGUUCAUGUAAAGAUGGAUGAAGUAAUAGAAAAGCUCCAUUCAGAGCAGAACUUCCAUUCAGAGAAUCUUCGGAGCCAACUUAAAGUCACUUUCCAAGGUCUC